ACGAACGUAAACUACUUCUCUUGUGCAUGCUGCCUUUGCUGGUGCAAAAUAUGAGCUUCUUGCUCUUGGACUCUUCAGGAACCAGUGGCGAUUUGUCCCAUAUCUUCAAUGCUAUCGACAUUUUGAACAGAGCUAUUACCCUUGUUGAGUCGAACCCGCACAACUUUCGCGUGUAUCAGUCGCCAUGGUGGGUGGCUCCUCGACCGACCGACCUCUUCAACCACUUCGUUCUGGACGCUUGGCCUGAGGAAAUCGCCCCAAGUUAGUGGCGAGUGGAAACAUCCUGUAAAUGGCUAAAGUCCGCACUGGAAAGAGGCCCAUUCCCAAGGAGUCCAGGCUGUGGAAGCAUGAGCAUGAGCAUUUUACAUGGGUUCGAGUCCUUGCGGCCUCACUAACUCCAAUGAGUCCGGAGGCGCUAUGAGAAACAACCAAAAGGCAGAGAAUCAUGUAUCGUCUAAGGAUACCAAGCUUCUUUCGCAGCCGCUUCACCGAAACCGCGUACAGGUAGGCAGCCAACUUCUCAACGUUCGUGCCAAGCAUUGCUGCCUUCAUGUCAUUACCAGAGAUACCCGCAGCCAACCUAAGGCUUGCGUAUUUAAUGCAAUCCAACAAAACGCGCCCUGCACCUCGACUUCCACACAUGGUGUAGGCCGCCCAUUCUACACCAGGUGUAGAAAUUGCUCAAAGUGCUCGACAUAACAGCUGUAGUGCUGAGGGCGAAGCCGAACGCAUUGACAUGCUUGGCGAAGCUGGGAAGCGCAGCUGAAGGCCUCUUGGCAAGCAUUGCUGCUGCGAAGCCCCCACGUAAUCGCUAGUGCUGGACGCUGCACUGAUGGAGCUGCCGGCGGAACUUGACACGCUGCUCGGUGCAGGCAGCGUGUCCUUAGCCCCGGCCACCCUCCAGGCGCCGCAAGCGCGCCCCGUUGGCGCGCGGAGGCUGUUGAGGGUCAAGCUGUUGAGGGUCACCUGAGCCCCGACGCCGCUGCGCAAGGCGAUGAAAGCAUCCUGAUGCAUUUCGUUUUUUAAUCUCAUAAAAUAUAUCAAAGCCUGUGGUUAUUUUUACGCUGUCGCAGCCUGGUGAACUCCUGAGUUUUGCCGGAAUUUUGCCCGAGUUUCGGCUGCGUUUCUCGUGAGUUUCCGCCGAGUUUCCGCCGAGUUCCCCUGCGCUCCGCCCGCGCGUGCACACCAGCGACUACAGCGACUCUCAUGCACUCCAGCGAGUCCCACCCGCACUGCAGCCCAACCGUCAACUGUGUGAAACCCGUGUGCGCCCAGAGGCAGCUCAUGGAAACCGGGUCAGCCCCAUGAGUCUCUCUGAGCUUACACGCAGCUCAUACACGCAGCUUCCCAGAUGGCGCGCGCACAACUAUGCACUAUUGCACUCCCACCCACGCGACGCGCCAACCGCCAGCUUCCGCCGUGCUCCACCGUACUCAGACGUAGCUUCCCAAACGCGUGCGCGCUCAACUGCCAGCUCCCACUCGCGCGCCUGCCGACUAGCGCAAACUGCCUGUGUGCGUCACUACAGUCAGGUCGCUUCCGAGCCGGGCCGCCGUACAACUACCUGCUCACACUCGCGCAGCUGCCGACUGCCACGCUACCUCCUGUACGGCUGAGGGGGGUGGGGGUGCCGUACACGAGUUAGUUGGGGGUUAGUCGGAGCUGUCCCAGGAUGAAGGUUUAUCUAUUUUUUGUGCGCGCAGGGGGUUCCUCCCCUGGGUCGAUCACCCGCAGCUCCGAGUCUGGCUUAGCGCCACGUACGCCGCUUCCGCGCGCUGUUGCCGCCUCAGCAUGCCCUGCACAGUGCCAGCCCGCUGGGUCCCCACCCCCCGUGCUGCUGCAUAUCCGGGUGCACGUGUCGAUUGGCGGCGAGUGACGUGACUAGUUUGUUAGCUGCGGGUUAGCACGGACUGUGCACCCCACCCAACCGGCCAUGUCCGGAUUUGCGGGGAUGCCAAAGGCCCCCAACAUAGAGGCGUGUGCUUAGUAGGCGCCCGCGUCAAGGUGGCUGGGUUGAUAACGACCCGGGAUCAGCCCUUUUCCUGCCAUAAGGCAGCCACCUCCUUGUUUGCGCACUUGCCUCUAGCUAACUACACACGCCAAACUCAUACCCCAAACUACUGAAGGUGCCAGGCAGAGUAGCUGCAGCGCGUGUAAAGCACUGCUAGCGCAAGCAGCCGAACCAUAUCUCCAACAUGGGUGACGGUCGCGUGGCCAGUUACGGCACGGCACUAAGGCGUCACCGCGUUAGCCGGGCUCGAAGUCGUAAGUUGACUCGUGCGCGCCGCUACUGUUCGGGGACGUGUUUACCGUAUGCCUUGUGGGACGCGAGCGCAAUAAGACUCACCGCAUACGGGCAAGACGAAUAGCAGGAUUGCACGUGUGUACGAGGACAGCUCAGCCAGGACUGGCCAGGACCGUAUGGGGGCACUACUGGGGCGCCUGACAAAGCCCCAAACACCGCCCUGCACUGCUGCACAGCCAGCCAGUACCGUCCAUCUGUGUCUACGAACACGCCUUCCCAAUGUCGCACCCCCGCAAGACCGCGACCCGAUCCCUUAGCCCCACACGGCUGUGCUACUCCAUGGUGGAUUGGAGUUCGCCCGUGGUCGUGUUCAGAUGGUUUCUGCGUGCAUACAUGCGCAGAUUAUCCCCUCGUACACUCACAUCGACCGGUCUCCCCCACAUGAGCCGCACCCCCGGCCCAUCACACAGCACGCCUGGCCCCCAGCGGUGCGGCCAUCUGGCUGCCCACACACGCACACACACAUACACACACACACACACACAUCCAGAUGUUUACGCGCUGCCGCUGCAUCUCGCCACCACUAGUGUGCGCCGCUGCAGUGCUCUCAGUGGGCCACUGCCGCCUGCGCCUGCGCCUCCUCCGCCGCCGCGGCCUCCACUAGUGCGAACACGGGGUCGGUGGUGAUGCCGCAGUCGUUGCCCUUGCGGGUGAUGCGAGCGUAGCUGGAGAGUGGGAGGAGGGUGGGGGGGGGGGGGGGGUAGAGGGCCAGAGAGGGAAAGGAGGAGGGGAUGAGGGGGAGGCGGCGCAGGAGGACGAGGGGAGAUUGACUAAAAUAUUGAAGAUGGGGAGCAAGAAAGGCAGUCGAGGGGACUCCAUCUGCCGCCCAGCUACCCGCAAAUACGUACACACACGCCCUUGCCCCCGCGCAACUGCCGGCCCACCACACUCACCCGUCCAUGCCCCAGUACUUGCUCCACGAGUUCUUGAUCAGCCAGUAGUCCACUCCCUGGGCCGUGGUGCCGUACCCCACCAGCAACACCACGUGGUCCAUGGAGUCAGGGUCCUGCAGGGUGAACGGGAGGUAGGGGAGGGGCGAGGGGCGCGGCGUUGACAGGAGGGGGGGCAGGAAGACGGCAGGAAGACGUGUUUUGCAGAACUACAAACCAAGUAACCAACACCGGGGCGCGGUCUGCAAUGUAAAUCAGAACCUGCGGUGCUAAGAGCAAUCUCGAGGAGGCUGAUGGAAUGCGGCCGAGUCCACAGCCUCCCCCGCCGGGCCCCGUCCCACCCCACUGCCCACCUCGCCGCACUCCUCGUUGUGGUAGACGCCCUCGGAGUAGAACUGCGGCAGGGGAGCGGAGGGGGGAGGCGCAGCUCAUUCCCAUACCUGCCAAGCGAAGACAGGGAGGCAGGCAGGUCAGGGGAGGCCUCCGUGUCCUCACCUUGAAGGGCACUCGCGCUGCGUUCAUGAGCACCGCCACGGGGCCGUGCAGGUAUACAGCCUCCAUCAGGGCGGACUCAUCUGGGGGGUGGGUCCAGAAGGUAGUUCGGAGGGGGUUAGGGGUAAAAGGGGGAGCAAUGCCGUACCGAUCACUGAGCGGUCCCCAGCCCCAAGACCUAAUGAGGCGAGCUCCAACCCCCACAAUUCAGCCCCAGCCCCCCAGCUCCAGCCGCUCACCGCGUGGCGGCACGUUGACAAAGUCAGAGAAGCGCGCAACCAGAGGCGCCGCCGCUUUAUUGCCACCCUUGCUCUUGCCGCCGAUCUUGGCCGAAAAGCUGGCCGCAGACUUGGUGGCGGCUGUCGCGGCUGUUGCUGCUGCUGUGGUCCAGUUGGCGUCGGGUGUGGGCGUGGGCCCCCUGCACCAGCUGUUCUGGGCCAGGUAGGGGUAGUCGGCCUCCUGCGCAAUGCCGCCGCCGUCAAUGACGUAGGCCAGGGUGGGCUCUAUGUAGCCGCCCAUGCAGCCGUCGUUGCCGUAGUCCCAGGCGCAGUCCACCAGCUGCUGCUCGGACAGGGACAGAGACUGGCCUGUGUGUGUGUGUGUGGGGGGGGGGGGGGGACGAUUGCCCGUGUGCAGGGUAGAGGGAGCAACAGGCAUAGGUGAAUGAGGUCAGGCGCUGUCUUGUGGUGAUGGCACCGGGCAUGUGGAGGCUGAGUUGCGAGUGCCCGGCGCCCUAACCCUCGCCUCCACUUCCACCACCACCACACACGCACACACACACGCGACCCGGCUGCUCACCAGUGGCCUUCCACCAGGCGCCCUGCAGCGCGCCCACCACGCCGAACGCCUGUGCAGCGCGGGAAGGCGAGGGCGGCGGGUUGAGGCGCGGAACAGGGCGGCGGUCAGGAUGCGGCAGGUGGAAGCAGCCUGGCGGGAUGGGGCUCCGGAUGAGGGGGCCCGAGCAUAUACCCCUCCAUACCCCCUACCCCUACCCCUCAUGAAUGGUGAGACACCCCCCCCCCCCCGCCCCCUGCCCCCGCCGCCCCCCGCCUCACCCAGCAGCUGCCGCAGGACACCUGGUCCUUCACCCCCGGCCCGUCCGCGCCACUGCCGCGCCAGUCCACCUCCGCCGGCAGCUCGCCGUCGGACAGCCGCCGGCGGUACACACGACCCAGAGCCCGACCACCACCGACCGCCCG
RNAcentral lists this long non-coding RNA (4886 nucleotides) under Chlamydomonas reinhardtii. RNAcentral's name for it is "long non-coding RNA (CREI_LNC000672)". Lineage: Eukaryota; Viridiplantae; Chlorophyta; Chlorophyceae; Chlamydomonadales; Chlamydomonadaceae. The record is from RNAcentral.